Tripterygium wilfordii is the source of this 1225-nucleotide RNA transcript. It is a transcript of the gene named protein LIGHT-DEPENDENT SHORT HYPOCOTYLS 10-like, with no coding region annotated. The transcript has 3 exons. Lineage: Eukaryota; Viridiplantae; Streptophyta; Magnoliopsida; Celastrales; Celastraceae. The record is from RefSeq and is a predicted model, not a curated record.
CUAUGAUAUGGUCUUGAUGGUCAUGAUCAUCUCAUCCUCCACUCUCUCUAAAAUUUAUUCACACCUACUAUUCCUUUCACCCUCUCUUCGCCCCCAAAUUUCUUGCCUUAUAUAGCAAAUCAAAAAAAACCCUCUUCAAUCAAUCUUUACAAUCACACCAUGUCAAGUGAAAGAGGUAAGGACAUAGCAGAAGAAUCAAGUGAUCAUCAACAGUCGGUGACACCGAGCCGAUAUGAGUCACAAAAGAGAAGGGAUUGGAACACUUUUGGUCAGUACUUGAAGAACCAGAGGCCUCCAGUGGCACUCUCACAGUGCAAUAGCAAUCAUGUGCUGGAUUUCCUAAGGUACCUUGAUCAGUUUGGAAAGACUAAGGUUCAUGUACAAGGUUGUAUGUUCUAUGGACAACCCGACCCGCCCGCCCCGUGUACUUGCCCUUUAAGACAAGCUUGGGGAAGCCUUGAUGCACUUAUUGGAAGGCUUAGAGCUGCCUAUGAAGAAAAUGGAGGAUCACCAGAGACUAAUCCCUUCGCCAGUGGCGCUAUUCGGGUUUAUUUAAGGGAAGUGAGAGAUUGUCAAGCUAAAGCAAGAGGGAUUCCUUAUAAGAAGAAGAAGAAGAAACCAACUAGUAGUCAAGGCAAAGGGAGUACUGCAGAUGAAUCAAGCUCCACAAUGCACUUCUCUUGAUCCAUUAAAAUAUGGAUUCCUAGAUAAAGUAACAAGUUUCCUAGUUCGACCUUCAGUAGGCAGAGCAAACUCCAUUUAUGAGUGUAAAUUAUAUAUAUAUAUAUAUAUAUACUUCUUAAUCGAAAAGAUGUGUUUAAUAGUCCAAGCGCGCUACUGCAUGUUCCAUACGUACGUAUAGCUUAGAUUACAUUUUCUUGACUGAUUCCAUUAUGGUUUUAUAACAAGUGGAGAGGUAGACUUACCUAGCUACAUGCACAGCCAAAGUACUGGUAUAUAUAAAUGUCCCCUUUGAUCGAGAGGUAUGCAUGCUUGAACUCGGAGAGGAUCUGAAUUAAUGAUCAAAUUAAGGCUCUGAUACCAUGUGUUCUGGUAUUUUAUUUUAUUUUUAUAUUUUCUAUCUGGAUGCUCUAAGAUAUCUAGAGAGGACAAAUAUUUAUGAACUCCCACUGCUUCUUUGCUUUGAACUACUUCUUCAUUUUAAAAUGUACGUCAAGUCAUUUACACUGUUUAUUUUUUUUAAGAAAUGUUUGAUCUUCAUUAU